Xiphias gladius (swordfish) is the source of this 876-nucleotide long non-coding RNA. RefSeq lists it as uncharacterized. The transcript is spliced from 5 exons. The record is from RefSeq and is a predicted model, not a curated record. Lineage: Eukaryota; Metazoa; Chordata; Actinopteri; Istiophoriformes; Xiphiidae.
GGGAGAGAGAGAAAGAAGAGAAAAACAAAGCGAAGAGAGAGAAAGGUGCUGCUGCUGUUUGCUCUGGUUAACCGUUACUGGGUCUGCCAACCUUUGGACCUCCUUUGAAGCCAAAUCGAUAAUUUGACCUACUAAGUUCAACCUUCCAUCCACAAACACAAGGAGUCAUUGGUGCCAUUAAAGUCUUUCUCUAACCCUGGCUGAAACAGCAGUUCACCAAACAUUGGCAGACCCGCAUCCAACCCUGGUGAAGAGGAGGGUCGGAUAACGAAUUUGAAAGAACUGCAUUGUGAAAGGAAGAGAAAAAAAAUCCAAGCCAUCGCUGCACAAGCGGCCAGGACAACACAGGACAGCCAUGGAACUUCCUGUGGAAAACAAACAGUGAAUGUGGGGUGCUUUAGGGUCUGAGGCUGCACCUGACUGACGGGACCGCAGGAAGUACACGCACACUGUCCCAAGGGAGCAAUGAGGAGAAAGAGGCGAAAGGCAGGAAAGCGACGCGUUGGUCCUGGGGAAUUUGUGAUGAUAGAUGGAAGCAACUUCUGCCACAAACAGAAGGUUUUGUUCUCUCAUCAUAUUGUCGGAUUUACCACCACUACUUUUAUAUUCUUAGGACUUUUGCAAGUUUGGUUUGCAAUUGCCAAACUUUUAAAACAAGACAUUUUCAUGACAUUGCCAUAAGUUGUUUUUAAAGGAGCCAACCUCUCACUGACUGGUCAGGGGCUAGUCCCCCAUGUGACCUGGAAACUGUGUUUGCUUUCAGCGAUGGUGUCUCUGGUGAAUGUGUACUUGUUCCUAGUUUUUUAUCCUGACAUUCGUUUGAUUCCUUCCAGUGUUUGGAAAUGAUCUUUUAACAGCAUGGUCAAAAGCGGCGCG